Long non-coding RNA from Motacilla alba alba, 1301 nucleotides. RefSeq lists it as uncharacterized. The transcript has 3 exons. The record is from RefSeq and is a predicted model, not a curated record. Lineage: Eukaryota; Metazoa; Chordata; Aves; Passeriformes; Motacillidae.
CUUAUCUCCCAGCCUCCAGCCAUCUUCAAAGGCUUCCCAGCUACUGUGUCCUGCAAGUUCAAAACCCUGCAGCCCACUGGGACUGGAGAUGCGUGAAGGAGCACAAGGAUUGGAGUUGAAUGACAGUCUUUUCCUUCUGACUUGGAAAUCUGCUAGGUUGCUGCUGCUUUUCUCAGAGAUGAUCCUUGGCUCGCUCUCAAGUGAAUUGCUAAUGAAUUAGUUACACUUACAUUUUUAAAAAAGAGAUGUGUGUCUGGGGACACCCAAGGAAUUCUUCCUCAGCCAGAAACAGAUCCUCAUUGAAAUGGACUCCAGGAAUUUGGAUUAGAUGAUCAGGGUAUUUUGGUGCCCUUAAAGACAAGGAAAGAUGAGAGUAGAGCGGAGGAAGAUAAGAAGAAGAGUAGGCAAGCAGGUGGCUGCCUGGCUGUUACAAUUUAUCAUGAACGCAUCUCACUUCACUUCUGGCUCCUCUGACGGAAGGAACAGCCGGUCUCCGGGAGGUCAAAGACAUUAUUUUCCCCUAGUCUUUCUCAGUUUCCAGUGCAUAUUUGUCACUUUGAAAAAGCAUGAAUUCUGGAUUUGAUGCACUUUAAUUGAUUUCACCCUCAACAAGUCCAACUGUCCAUCAACCUUUCCUUUUUCUUUCCUCUCCCCCUUCUUUUUUCUUUCCUCUGUCCCUUUGCUUUGAGAGUGAUGCUUUCACCAUCCUGCAUGUUGGAGCUGUUGCAAAGCCCAUGACCCUAUCAAGGCUUACUGUCACUAGCCAUUGCUCUCAUUUUCCUUAUCCUCCAAGCUGAACUUUGGGUGCUGAUUGAGAAUGAGGUAGGAGUACUGGUCUUGUAAUAUCUCAGUGAUGUGCUCCUUGUCAAAGUAAAAGUGGUGGCUGAUGGUCCACUUAAUUUGAGACAAUUGUGUAGAAUUCACUCAUUAUAUGCUGGCAUUGGUAUUUAAAACAGUUUGCAGUGUCAUGGCAGAGAUGAAUGUGCUGUUUCUUCUUUCCUCCUGGAAAGAUGUGUAUUCUCUGUAUAUCCAGGGUUGUGUGGUUGUAAAUUCGGUGUGUAAAGCGACAUUGUCACCUCAGAAAUGGAGAUCAUAGAAUCAUAGAACAUCCUGAGUUGCAAGGGGUCCACAAAGACCAUCCAAAAAUCCUAUGAGGUGCCAUCACACUCUUGUUUGGUGAAUUCUUCUGGCAUGGAAUAAAUGGGCGUGUGUAACAACUUGUCCUUUGCACAAAAAUCCUUAGAGUGUCCUGGAAACCAGGGGCUGCUUAAAGUGGAAGCUGAAAGAGUCACAGGUGUUCC